RNAcentral lists this ribosomal RNA (212 nucleotides) under Proteus sp. (in: enterobacteria). RNAcentral's name for it is "Proteus sp. partial 16S ribosomal RNA". It matches the Rfam family "Bacterial small subunit ribosomal RNA", at positions 570 to 781 of the family's 1533-position model. Lineage: Bacteria; Pseudomonadati; Pseudomonadota; Gammaproteobacteria; Enterobacterales; Morganellaceae. The record is from RNAcentral.
UGUAGGCGGUUCGUAAGUAAAGAUGUGAAAGCCCCGAGCUUAACCUGGGAAUUGCAUCUUAAACUGGUUGGCUAGAGUCUGGUAGAGGGGGGAAGAAUUCCACGUGUAGCGGUGAAAUGCGUAGAGAUGUGGAGGAAUACCGAUGGCGAAGGCGGCCCCCUGGAAUAAGACUGACGCUCAGAUGCGAAAGCGUGGGGAGCAAACAGGAUUAG